UGUCUUCUACUUGAUGAUAGAGGGAGGAUGAUUCUCUUCUAGGCUGGAAUUUUUUCCCCUCAUCCGUUGCUUCUCUCCUUAGUCUCUCAUUGACUGGGAGGAGCUUUGUAAGCAGAAGGCUUGGUAUCAGCAGGCCUGUUGCAGACCUUCGUUAUAAUUAAGCAGAGCUCUGUGAGGAACAGAUAUUUUGUGCCAUCCGUACUCUGAAUGCUGACCUUAACCCUGUCGUUAUUCUCUUCCCCAGAAUAAAGUUGUGACUUCCUGCAGACUCUGAAACCAACCAGAUACCCCUAGGCACCCCGUACCUUUACAUUUUUUUUUAACAAGUUCGGUUUGUAUCAGGAUAGCCUCAGGAUUUUGGGCUGCUCUUGCUCCCUGUUCUGGGUCCUCGGAGGUGUUGGUUUGUGCAGCACAGCUUGUGUCUGUUCCUGAUCUCACGUUAGCCUGUUUUCUGUAAGGCAACUCACUGCAGCUGCUCUAUUUCUAGCUGAGGGGAAGUUAAUCCUUUGUUUCCCAUCUCAGUUCACAGUGUAAUUUAAUAAUCUUUAGAGAUCAGGAUAGGGAUUCUUCCCUCCCUGAUGGAGGGGGAAGAGCUUGCUGUUUGGGUUGCCAAAAAAAGCCCCCUGUUCCAGCUUUCUAGUACCGCAAGGCUUCCUCUUUGUUUAGGCAUCUUCAGCAAAGUAGAGCACUGUACCAGUUCAUACUGCAACCUUGAUGGCUUCACUGCCAACACCACGGAGCAGCUUUCAUCUGAUGAAAGAUGAGGCAGGAUCUCUUCUUUCUUCUGUCUCUCUUUAAGUGGCCUGUUUUGACUAAGCAAGUCAUUUCACUAAGCCCAAUAGCUGUGUUGGUCCAACAAAUUGUUUUGGUGUGUACCUUCUAGGUCAAAAAAUAUUCUUCCUUCUCCAGGAGGAUGGACUGCUGUCGGUGUUACUGGGAGACGGCACAUUGGACUUGUCUUCAAAGCUCACAGGACAACAGCACAAAAAUAAGCGAUGUGUGCUCAGCCACACUUUGCAGUUUGUCAUCUGCUUUUCUAAGUAACUUCAGAAAUAAAAAACAGAGUGCCCUUGUGUUGGAAUCAAAGUCAGAAGGCUUGUAGGUGCGGGUGAAGUAUUUGGAGGUCAGAUGAUAGUGCUGUGAAAUAGGAGACACAAUUCUGUAUCAAACACCUUCAGUGUGAAGUGAGAUCACAACCCUCGGUGCAGGUGGGAAGCAAUUGCUGUGAGGUCUGUUGCAGUGGGGGGAGAACAUUAAAGUUAUUUCCUGUGGGGCAGAGAGACAAGUUACCUUCACCAUUGAAUGUGGACAUAGCAUAACCGUGGGGAUGGAGGAAACUAAUGGGUAAUAAAGCCACGUUCACUUUUGAGUCA
RNAcentral lists this long non-coding RNA (1373 nucleotides) under Anser cygnoides (Swan goose). Its description in RNAcentral is "lncRNA (ENSACDG00005006301.1)". The record is from RNAcentral. Lineage: Eukaryota; Metazoa; Chordata; Aves; Anseriformes; Anatidae.